RNAcentral lists this ribosomal RNA (825 nucleotides) under Triticum aestivum (bread wheat). RNAcentral's name for it is "partial small subunit ribosomal RNA". Lineage: Eukaryota; Viridiplantae; Streptophyta; Magnoliopsida; Poales; Poaceae. The record is from RNAcentral.
AUGGGGGCGCCCAAGGAGGACGAGAAGGGGCACACAUGCGGCGGCUGGAAGAGUGAGGAUGGAAGUUUGUAUUGUGGAUAUUCUAGCUUGAGAGGGAGAAGAGCAAGUAUGGAAGACUUCUACGACAUGAGAUCAUCUAAAAUGGAUGCUAAAAACAUAAACCUUUUUGGAGUAUUUGAUGGACAUGGUGGUUCAUGUGCCGCUGAGUAUCUCAAGGAGCACUUAUUUGAAAAUCUCCUGAAACACCCCUCUUUCAUUACUGAUACAAAAACAGCAAUAAGUGAGAGCUAUAUGAAGACUGACUCAGAUUUCUUGGAUGCUGAAACCAAUAUUCAUAGAGAGGCUGGGUCAACUGCAUCAACAGCAAUUUUUGUUGGCAACCACCUCUAUGUGGCAAAUGUUGGCGAUUCACGGGCUGUAAUAUCGAAGGCGGGCAAAGCUAUUGUGCUCUCUGAUGAUCACAAACCAGACAGAAGUGACGAGCGGGAACGGAUUGAAAAUGCUGGAGGAGUUGUUACAUUUAGUGGAACAUGGAGGGUAGGUGGUGUACUUGCCAUGUCUCGGGCAUUUGGAGAUCGUUUGUUGAAGCCGUUUGUUGUUGCAGAGCCUGAGAUUCAGGAACAAGAAAUAGAUGAUGAAUUGGAGUAUCUGAUUUUGGCUAGUGAUGGCCUGUGGGACGUGGUGUCAAAUGAGCACGCCGUUGCAUUUGUGAAGGAGGAGGUGGGCUCUGAAGCUGCGGCCCGAAAGCUGACAGAGAUCGCUUUCACGCGUGGGAGCACCGACAAUAUAACAUGCAUAGUUGUAGAGUUUCACCGUGCCAAAUAA